RNAcentral lists this ribosomal RNA (490 nucleotides) under uncultured bacterium. RNAcentral describes it as "partial 16S ribosomal RNA". It matches the Rfam family "Bacterial small subunit ribosomal RNA", at positions 30 to 507 of the family's 1533-position model. The record is from RNAcentral.
AUUGAACGCUGGCGGCAGGCCUAACACAUGCAAGUCGAACGGUAACAGGAAGCAGCUUGCUGCUUUGCUGACGAAUGGCGGACGGGUGAGUAAUGUCUGGGAAACUGCCCGAUGGAGGGGGAUAACUACUGGAAACGGUAGCUAAUACCGCAUAACGUCGCAAGACCAAAGAGGGGGACCUUAGGGCCUCUUGCCAUCGGAUGUGCCCAGAUGGGAUUAGCUAGUAGGUGGGGUAACGGCUCACCUAGGCGACGAUCCCUAGCUGGUCUGAGAGGAUGACCAGCCACACUGGAACUGAGACACGGUCCAGACUCCUACGGGAGGCAGCAGUGGGGAAUAUUGCACAAUGGGCGCAAGCCUGAUGCAGCCAUGCCGCGUGUAUGAAGAAGGCCUUCGGGUUGUAAAGUACUUUCAGCGGGGAGGAAGGGAGUAAAGUUAAUACCUUUGCUCAUUGACGUUACCCGCAGAAGAAGCACCGGCUAACUCCGUG